CAGUCGAGCGGUAGCACAGAGAGCUUGCUCUCGGGUGACGAGCGGCGGACGGGUGAGUAAUGUCUGGGAAACUGCCUGAUGGAGGGGGAUAACUACUGGAAACGGUAGCUAAUACCGCAUAACGUCGCAAGACCAAAGUGGGGGACCUUCGGGCCUCAUGCCAUCAGAUGUGCCCAGAUGGGAUUAGCUGGUAGGUGGGGUAACGGCUCACCUAGGCGACGAUCCCUAGCUGGUCUGAGAGGAUGACCAGCCACACUGGAACUGAGACACGGUCCAGACUCCUACGGGAGGCAGCAGUGGGGAAUAUUGCACAAUGGGCGCAAGCCUGAUGCAGCCAUGCCGCGUGUGUGAAGAAGGCCUUCGGGUUGUAAAGCACUUUCAGCGGGGAGGAAGGCGGUGAGGUUAAUAACCUCAUCGAUUGACGUUACCCGCAGAAGAAGCACCGGCUAACUCCGUGCCAGCAGCCGCGGUAAUACGGAGGGUGCAAGCGUUAAUCGGAAUUACUGGGCGUAAAGCGCACGCAGGCGGUCUGUCAAGUCGGAUGUGAAAUCCCCGGGCUCAACCUGGGAACUGCAUUCGAAACUGGCAGGCUAGAGUCUUGUAGAGGGGGGUAGAAUUCCAGGUGUAGCGGUGAAAUGCGUAGAGAUCUGGAGGAAUACCGGUGGCGAAGGCGGCCCCCUGGACAAAGACUGACGCUCAGGUGCGAAAGCGUGGGGAGCAAACAGGAUUAGAUACCCUGGUAGUCCACGCUGUAAACGAUGUCGAUUUGGAGGUUGUGCCCUUGAGGCGUGGCUUCCGGAGCUAACGCGUUAAAUCGACCGCCUGGGGAGUACGGCCGCAAGGUUAAAACUCAAAUGAAUUGACGGGGGCCCGCACAAGCGGUGGAGCAUGUGGUUUAAUUCGAUGCAACGCGAAGAACCUUACCUGGUCUUGACAUCCACAGAACUUUCCAGAGAUGGAUUGGUGCCUUCGGGAACUGUGAGACAGGUGCUGCAUGGCUGUCGUCAGCUCGUGUUGUGAAAUGUUGGGUUAAGUCCCGCAACGAGCGCAACCCUUAUCCUUUGUUGCCAGCGGUUAGGCCGGGAACUCAAAGGAGACUGCCAGUGAUAAACUGGAGGAAGGUGGGGAUGACGUCAAGUCAUCAUGGCCCUUACGACCAGGGCUACACACGUGCUACAAUGGCAUAUACAAAGAGAAGCGACCUCGCGAGAGCAAGCGGACCUCAUAAAGUAUGUCGUAGUCCGGAUUGGAGUCUGCAACUCGACUCCAUGAAGUCGGAAUCGCUAGUAAUCGUAGAUCAGAAUGCUACGGUGAAUACGUUCCCGGGCCUUGUACACACCGCCCGUCACACCAUGGGAGUGGGUUGCAAAAGAAGUAGUUAGCUUAACCUUCGGGAGGGC
RNAcentral lists this ribosomal RNA (1400 nucleotides) under Klebsiella pneumoniae. RNAcentral describes it as "bacterial SSU rRNA". It matches the Rfam family "Bacterial small subunit ribosomal RNA". Lineage: Bacteria; Pseudomonadati; Pseudomonadota; Gammaproteobacteria; Enterobacterales; Enterobacteriaceae. The record is from RNAcentral.